This 497-nucleotide ribosomal RNA is filed under the name uncultured bacterium. Its description in RNAcentral is "partial 16S ribosomal RNA". It matches the Rfam family "Bacterial small subunit ribosomal RNA", at positions 28 to 507 of the family's 1533-position model. The record is from RNAcentral.
GACGAACGCUGGCGGCGUGCCUAAUACAUGCAAGUUGAGCGCUGAAGGUUGGUACUUGUACCGACUGGAUGAGCAGCGAACGGGUGAGUAACGCGUGGGGAAUCUGCCUUUGAGCGGGGGACAACAUUUGGAAACGAAUGCUAAUACCGCAUAAAAACUUUAAACACAAGUUUUAAGUUUGAAAGAUGCAAUUGCAUCACUCAAAGAUGAUCCCGCGUUGUAUUAGCUAGUUGGUUAGGUAAAGGCUCACCAAGGCGAUGAUACAUAGCCGACCUGAGAGGGUGAUCCGCCACAUUGGGAACGAGACACGGCCCAAACUCCUACGGGAGGCAGCAGUAGGGAAUCUUCGGCAAUGGACGAAAGUCUGACCGAGCAACGCCGCGUGAGUGAAGAAGGUUUUCGGAUCGUAAAACUCUGUUGGUAGAGAAGAACGUUGGUGAGAGUGGAAAGCUCAUCAAGUGACGGUAACUACCCAGAAAGGGACGGCUAACUACGUG